UUGGAGGGCAAGUCUGGUGCCAGCAGCCGCGGUAAUUCCAGCUCCAAUAGCGUAUAUCAAAGUUGCUGCAGUUAAAAAGCUCGUAGUUGAAUUUCGGGACCAUCAUGUCGGUCGUGCCUCGGUACGUACUGGCAUUGUUGGUUUCUCCCUUCUGACGAACCAUGAUGUCAUUUAUUUGGUGUUGUGGGGAAUCAGGACUGUUACUUUGAAAAAAUUAGAGUGUUUAAAGCAGGCUCACGCUUGAAUACAUUAGCAUGGAAUAAUGAAAUAGGACGUUUGAUUCUAUUUUGUUGGUUUCUAGGAUCGACGUAAUGAUUAAUAGGGAUAGUGGGGGGCAUUAGUAUUCAAUUGUCAGAGGUGAAAUUCUUGGAUUUAUUGAAGACUAACUACUGCGAAAGCAUUUGCCAAGGAUGUUUUCAUUAAUCAAGAACGAAAGCUAGGGGAUCGAAGACGAUCGGAUACCGUCGUAGUCUUAACCAUAAACUAUGCCGACUAGGGAUCGGAUGAUGUUAAUUUUUUAAUGACUCAUUCGGCGCCUUACGGGAAACCAAAGUGUUUGGGUUC
Molecule: ribosomal RNA, 564 nt
Filed under: uncultured Glomeromycotina
Lineage: Eukaryota; Fungi; Glomeromycota
Description: SSU rRNA
Rfam family: Eukaryotic small subunit ribosomal RNA
Source: RNAcentral